Molecule: long non-coding RNA, 2639 nt
Filed under: Sus scrofa (pig)
Lineage: Eukaryota; Metazoa; Chordata; Mammalia; Artiodactyla; Suidae
Description: lncRNA (ENSSSCG00000052831.1)
Source: RNAcentral
UAUGGAGUUCCCGGGCCUGGGACUGGAUCCAAGCCGCAGUUGCAACCUACACCACAGCUAUGGCAACACCAGAUCCUUUAACCCACUGGGCCGGGUUGGGGAUCAAACCUGCAUCCUGGCGCUGCAGACACACCCCUGAUCCCUUUGAGCCACCGUGGGAACCCUGGAACAUAAUUAUUAUAGUGAUUUUUCCCACCGUGAGUGACAGACGAAAUCCCCCACGAUUCCACUAACCCAAAUUUGGGGCUGUGGACAGUCCUGACCAGGGAACAAUCGUGCUGUGUCCUGGACCUUUUGGACGGCAUGUGGCCCAAGGGCUCAACUGACAGGAGAAACGGGAGGAUUGCUUUAUACCCCCUUAGGGCCAGGGUCACAUUGCUGAUUAAUAGCAGUAUUAGGCCUAAAGUUCAAUAAUUCUGCUCCUAUUUGAGGGCUCUUUCCAGGGAAACCUCAGUCAUGGUAUCGGACCAAAAAAAAAAAAAAAAAAAAAUCUAUCUCCACAUACAGGUAUGUAAACCCCCACAGCGUUCUUUGAUGGAAUCCAGUAAGUCAUGGAUAAGGUGAGCAAGUGACUUGCACUGACUCAAAUAACCCCAAUUUCCAAACAGGAGAAUCUACCUACGUCUAAAGUCUUCUCUUCCCAUCGUGCGUGUUCCACAGGUGAGGGCAGGUACCGUGGGCAAAGUCAGAGCUGGCCGCACUGUCGUGGCAACUCACCCCUGAUAAAUAACACAACCACCCAAGGAACGUGGAGGUGGCUUAUCUCAUAACACCAGUUCCCUUCUCUACGACGCAGCGAGGCCAGCGGGAAAAGAGCACCUCCACGGAGCCUGAGAGUUCCUGGAGAGUGUUCUGGAAAGCUGAAUUGAGACGCUGCCCCGUGGCACCGGUAAGGAGGAGGAGGGACGUCACUGGCCCCUGGACGCUUCCUCCAUCACAGGGUCUGAGUCACAGGUCUGGUGCCAGAAGUUUAUGGUUUGUCCUCAAGAGCACAGCUUCGAACAUCUUCCCUGCAUUCCAAGGGGUGGCAUCACUCUGGGCCCUUCUCCCCUUCCCAGGCUCACACACACCCCAGAUCACUCCUGAUCUCAGCACCAUUCCACCCUGGGCACUGUGUGCAGAGCCUCUUCUGCGUGGGACGGGACGGCCGCCCCACGCGUCUGGAUACAGGCACGCCAAGCAGAAGGGCCGCUCCCCCGCCUCCUGGCCACCUUCAGCUCACCUGUCUGGGCACCAGUGACAUUCCAGGAGCCUCUGCGGGGGCGGGAGGCGGGGGGGAGGGGACCCUCAGGCCCGAGGAGGUACAGGUUCUUCUUCCAAAACCCGACACUCACCUGGUGCCCUGACGCUAAGUCUCAAGGCAUCGGCUCAUCUUAACGUCAACAGUAUUGGAGACAAAAGCACCGCUGGAAAAAGAGAGGGGGUAUAACCUCGGAAGUGACCAGGCUCGCACAUGGAAAUGUGGCCGCUCGGGUCCUUCUUCAGGCGUUUUUCAAGGAAGCCAAGUCCUCUUCCGAAUUUAGUUCCCAUACUGCUAUUUUCAUCUCCUCUUUUACUACGUGUGACUUUCUAGCUGAUCCCCUUUGUCCGACACACCAACUUGGUGGCCUCACGGCCAAGGGGGCGAGAGGCCCGGCGUCAGGCUGGUGAAGAAGAAUGGACGCCUCCUCCAAGACACAGAACCGACGGCGGUGGCAAGGCUGACAGGGGGUGACGGGCAUCAAAGGUGCCAACGUUGAGCCGUAAAUAAACACGUCCCGGGAAUACAACAUAAUACGCGGCUGCAGUAACACUCCCGGGGUGUGUGUGAACGUUGCUAAGAGUAAAUUUUAAAAGUUCUCAUCACGAGAGACUAAAUACGAGUAACUGUGUGGGGACGGACGUUAACGAACCUUAUCGGGGUGAUGACGUUUCACAGCUGACGCACCUGACGCGCAUCAAACCAUUAUGCUGCAACCCUUACGCUACGACGACGAUCUGUCAUUUACAUCUCAAACUGCCCAAGUGAAAUUAAAAUUAAAAAGAACAGCUGGAGCUCUCUGGCAGCCUAGCAGUUAAGGAUCCAGGAGUAUCACUGCCGUGGUGCAGGUUCGAUCCCUGUUUGCAAGAGACGCAGCCAAAAAAAAAAAAAAAGAACAGCUAGAGGAGAACUGCCUCUGGGGGCCCUGACCCUGUCCCUACAUCCCUCAAGCCAGCAAACAUCUUUUCUCACACCGGGCAUCAGGAAAAAGAAAAAGCCUUGCUCUCACAACCUCUGUACCAAAGAUAGAUUUAAGGAGAACCGUUUCAAUUAAACAUUGCUCAACCAAAAAAAAGGGGGAGUUUUUCACAACAGACUUAGUUCCAUAACUUACUGGCAGCCCCAAGAGGGGCCACUGUCUGACUUGAGGAUAGCAAAUUCUAGACGACACAGCAGCCAGCCGGCUGUUGAAGGAAAACUCGAGGUGGCUCACUGUGGCCCACGGCAGGGCACAGAGACGCUGCCACUCCCUCCACUGCACUGUCCUGGGGCUGUCCUGCCAGCAAAAGAUCCACCCCGACGCUCCCCCGACCCCCCCCCCGUAAAACCAGGUAGGAGCAGGAGGAGGAGGGAGGCCGCCAGCCUCUCGACGACACGGCCCCCUUUCUCUAGCAAGGUC